Molecule: transfer RNA, 77 nt
Filed under: Desulfobacteraceae bacterium
Lineage: Bacteria; Pseudomonadati; Thermodesulfobacteriota; Desulfobacteria; Desulfobacterales; Desulfobacteraceae
Description: tRNA-Arg
Rfam family: tRNA
About the family: Transfer RNA (tRNA) molecules are approximately 80 nucleotides in length. Their secondary structure includes four short double-helical elements and three loops (D, anti-codon, and T loops).
Source: RNAcentral
GCGCCUGUAGCUCAGCUGGAUAGAGCAACGGACUUCUAAUCCGUAGGCCGGGGGUUCGAGUCCCUCCAGGCGUGCCA